RNAcentral lists this ribosomal RNA (254 nucleotides) under uncultured bacterium. RNAcentral's name for it is "partial 16S ribosomal RNA". It matches the Rfam family "Bacterial small subunit ribosomal RNA", at positions 524 to 777 of the family's 1533-position model. The record is from RNAcentral.
UACAGAGGGUGCUAGCGUUGUUCGGAAUUACUGGGCGUAAAGGGCUCGUAGGUGGCCAACUAAGUCAGACGUGAAAUCCCUCGGCUUAACCGGGGAACUGCGUCUGAUACUGGAUGGCUUGAGUUUGGGAGAGGGACGCGGAAUUCCAGGUGUAGCGGUGAAAUGCGUAGAUAUCGGGAGGAACACCAAUUGCGAAGGCAGCUCGCUGGGACGUCACUGACGCUGAGACGCGAAAGCGUGGGGAGCAAACAGGG